GACGAACGCUGGCGGCGUGCUUAACACAUGCAAGUCGAACGGAAAGGCCCUGCUUUUGUGGGGUGCUCGAGUGGCGAACGGGUGAGUAACACGUGAGUAACCUGACCUUGACUUUGGGAUAACUUCAGGAAACUGGGGCUAAUACCGGAUAGGAGCUCCUGCUGCAUGGUGGGGGUUGGAAAGUUUCGGCGGUUGGGGAUGGACUCGCGGCUUAUCAGCUUGUUGGUGGGGUAGUGGCUUACCAAGGCUUUGACGGGUAGCCGGCCUGGGAGGGUGACCGGCCACAUUGGGACUGCGAUACGGCCCAGACGGCUACGGGAGGCAGAAGGGGGGAAUAUUACCCAAUGGGCGGAAGCCUGAUGCAGCAACGCCGCGGUCGGGAUGACGGCCUUCGGGUUGUAAACCGCUUUCGCCUGUGACGAAGCGGGAGUGACGGUAAUGGGUAAAGAAGCACCGGCUAACUACGUG
This 468-nucleotide ribosomal RNA is filed under the name uncultured bacterium. RNAcentral's name for it is "partial 16S ribosomal RNA". It matches the Rfam family "Bacterial small subunit ribosomal RNA", at positions 28 to 507 of the family's 1533-position model. The record is from RNAcentral.